Molecule: long non-coding RNA, 1764 nt
Filed under: Bemisia tabaci
Lineage: Eukaryota; Metazoa; Arthropoda; Insecta; Hemiptera; Aleyrodidae
Description: lncRNA ENSSSA1UGG011837
Source: RNAcentral
AACUUCUGCCCAAAUGAGGUGUGUACAUAUUACGACGUAAUUUGUAAAGAUAAAAUAAAAAUAAGAUAAACAAAAAUCAUAAAAAUAAUAUUGAAGAUGAUAAUGACAAUGGUGACCAAAGGGUAUCUCGAAAAAAAAAAUAAAAUCAGAAGCCAUUUUUCCUGCGGAUAAAGACAAAAAAUAAUCAUAAUGGCUUGUCUCCUUUCAUUGUAAUAACGUCCAGUUGUGUAGAAGAUGCAGUAUUUUUUCAAUUAUGGAAUGUUUUUGUUCCAACUGAUUAGGUUGCUUGAAGGCCUAAAAUAAGAAACAUUCGCAUUUUUUUUGUGCACAUGAUAAAACAACUUCAUUAAUGAACGUGGAGCUACAAAUAUAGUUGGAAUUGCAUCAAUACUAAUUCAUCGUUUGGCUUGAGAUUAGUCUAUGAGAUGAUGUUUUCCUUCAAUGACGAACUCGAGUUCGUCAUACUUGGGUCAAGUACUUCUUAAAGUUUUUGAAUAUGGAAAUCCCUGACUUUUCCAUGCCUUUUCGAUGACACUCAGGCACAAAUUCUCACGAGCACACUUUAAACUGAAACCAAUCACCGAGAGUUCUCUCGAGAUUUGAAAAUAAUCGUAAAGAGAACCUAAAGACAGAAGUUUUGGUUCCUGUCCACAGAAUGUCUAAGUGCGGAAGAAAAUAAAGAUAAAAAAUAAUGACAGAAAAUUUUUUUUUGACGGAAAAAAGAAUUCGAAGGUUCCGUAGCAAAAAUUCCUGACGUUUCAAGGUUGGGCAAACUCACCCCACUUGUCCAGCUUUUCAAUUACUUCAAGAACUGCUCACCCUGGACUGUUCAUCAUGAACAGGGCUGCCGACACCUUUAAUCACGUUUAGCAAAUAUAUUUUAUUUACUCGCAGUAGCUGUAACUGUGCAGUAACUGUGAGUACACAGUUCUCAAGUUUUCUCGCUUGUUACUCACUGUUCUCGAUUUACUCUUUACUCGUUGUUUCCAAAUUGUAUUCACUUUCACUCACACUCGCUGUUCUCGGCUUUCUCUUUACUCACCGUCAUUUCUCGAUUAUAAUCACUAGUUACUCACAGUUUCUUUAGUUUAUUCACUCUUGACUCACUGAUCUCGAUUUACUCUUUACUCGUUGUUUCCAAAUUUUAUUCACUUUCACUCACACUCACUGUUCUCGGCUUACUCUUUACUCACCGCCGUUUCUCGAUUUUAAUCACUAGUUACUCACAGUUUCUUGAGUUUACUCACUCUUGACUCGCCGUUCAUGAUUUUACUCAGAUAUUACUCCUACAAAUCUCGCCGAACUGUUUCCGAUUUUACUCAUAUUUACUUACUGUUCUCGGCUUACUCUUUACUUGCCGUUUCUUGAUUUCACUAACUCUGUAUUCAUCAUUUCUCCAUUUUACUCACUAGGUCCUCGCCGUUUCUUGAUUUUACUCACUUUUUUCUCACCGUUCAUGAUUUUACUCACUUAUUACUUACACAAAUCUCGCCAGACAUGAAAUAAUUGGGGAUCAUUUCUCAUUUCAUUGAUCGCUUCGAUUCUUCUCGAGACACUACAAGAAAUUUACUCACGGACAGUCAGAUUGCCCGCGAAUUACUCACUCUACUCACGGGUUAACUCACUGAUGCUCAACUAACUCACAGUGAGAGUUAUCACGAAUCGGCAGCCCUGAUGAUCUUAAACAAAACGACUUAUUUUAAAACUUUAUGCGAAAGAGAAAAAAAGGGGCGAAAUAUUUCAUUGUUGCAGUAGCAGCAUCAU